RNAcentral lists this ribosomal RNA (253 nucleotides) under uncultured bacterium. Its description in RNAcentral is "partial 16S ribosomal RNA". It matches the Rfam family "Bacterial small subunit ribosomal RNA", at positions 524 to 776 of the family's 1533-position model. The record is from RNAcentral.
GACAGAGGGGGCAAGCGUUGCUCGGAAUUACUGGGCGUAAAGGGCGCGUAGGCGGGAUGGCAAGUCGGUCGUGAAAUCCUUCGGCUCAACCGAAGAACGUCGAUCGAUACUGCUGUUCUUGAGGGUUGCAGAGGAGACUGGAAUUCCCGGUGUAGCGGUGGAAUGCGUAGAGAUCCGGAAGAACACCGGUGGCGAAGGCGGCCUGCUGGGCAGUUGCUGACACUGAGGCGCGACAGCGUGGGGAGCAAACAGG